RNAcentral lists this ribosomal RNA (545 nucleotides) under Serratia sp. DsA.N005. RNAcentral's name for it is "bacterial SSU rRNA". It matches the Rfam family "Bacterial small subunit ribosomal RNA", at positions 948 to 1494 of the family's 1533-position model. The record is from RNAcentral. Lineage: Bacteria; Pseudomonadati; Pseudomonadota; Gammaproteobacteria; Enterobacterales; Yersiniaceae.
AAUUCGAUGCAACGCGAAGAUCCUUACCUACUCUUGACAUCCAGAGAACUUUCCAGAGAUGGAUUGGUGCCUUCGGGAACUCUGAGACAGGUGCUGCAUGGCUGUCGUCAGCUCGUGUUGUGAAAUGUUGGGUUAAGUCCCGCAACGAGCGCAACCCUUAUCCUUUGUUGCCAGCGGUUCGGCCGGGAACUCAAAGGAGACUGCCAGUGAUAAACUGGAGGAAGGUGGGGAUGACGUCAAGUCAUCAUGGCCCUUACGAGUAGGGCUACACACGUGCUACAAUGGCGUAUACAAAGAGAAGCGACCUCGCGAGAGCAAGCGGACCUCAUAAAGUACGUCGUAGUCCGGAUUGGAGUCUGCAACUCGACUCCAUGAAGUCGGAAUCGCUAGUAAUCGUAGAUCAGAAUGCUACGGUGAAUACGUUCCCGGGCCUUGUACACACCGCCCGUCACACCAUGGGAGUGGGUUGCAAAAGAAGUAGGUAGCUUAACCUUCGGGAGGGCGCUUACCACUUUGUGAUUCAUGACUGGGGUGAAGUCGAACAA